AAUCUGGGAAGUGGAGAUCCCCUGAGACAGCAAUUUAUGCAGUUUCAGCAGCCUUUUCAAUAUCUUCAACAGUCGAGCAGCCAUUGUCCACUGUUGCAGCUACAGCAGCAGCAUCAAGCAAUUCAACAAUCAACCUCUCAUAAUAUACUGCAGGCACAAAAUCAGAUUUCAACUGAAAGCUUGCCCCGGCAUUUAUUGCAGCAACAACUCAACAAUCAAACAGAUGAUCAUACACAGCAACAGCAUAAGCAACAACAACAGCAACAUAGUUACCAUGAUGUGCUUCAGAUUCAAGGUGAACAACUCCAGAGACAGCAGCCAAAUGUACCUUCUCCAUCAUUUUCAAAAACUGAUUUCAUGGACUCAAACACCAAGUACUCGGCAUCUACUACCCCUAUACAGAACAUGCUGGGUUCUAUGUGUGCUGAAGGGAGUGGUAACCUUUUGGACUUCACCAGAACUGGUCAAUCAACACUAACUACACUAACUGAGCAGUUGCCUCAACAGUCUUGGGUCCCAAAAUAUGCACAUUCACAGGUCAAUGCUUAUACCAAUUCUCUGUCACUUCCUCGUCCAUAUCCUGAGAAAGAUCCUGCUAUGGAGCCAGAAAGUUGCAACUUGGAUGCUCAAAAUCAUACCAAUUUUGGUGUGAACAUCGAUUCAUCUGGACUCUUACUGCCUACCACACUGCCCAGAUAUGCCUCUUCGACAGUUGAUGCUGAUGUGUCCUCAAUGCCAUUGGGGGAUUCUGGGUUUCAGAAUUCUAUAUAUGGUGGUGUGCAAGACUCUU
RNAcentral lists this unclassified non-coding RNA (790 nucleotides) under Hevea brasiliensis (rubber tree). Lineage: Eukaryota; Viridiplantae; Streptophyta; Magnoliopsida; Malpighiales; Euphorbiaceae. The record is from RNAcentral.